GUUGUCCGGCCUGAGCUUGAUCCUGGCUCAGGACGAACGCUGGCGGCGUGCCUAAUACAUGCAAGUCGAGCGGACUGAUGGGAGCUUGCUCCCUGAUGUCAGCGGCGGACGGGUGAGUAACACGUGGGCAACCUGCCUGUAAGACUGGGAUAACUCCGGGAAACCGGGGCUAAUACCGGAUAACCCGUUCCACCUCAUGGUGGAGCGGUAAAAGAUGGCCUCUGGCUAUCACUUACAGAUGGGCCCGCGGCGCAUUAGCUAGUUGGUAAGGUAACGGCUUACCAAGGCGACGAUGCGUAGCCGACCUGAGAGGGUGAUCGGCCACACUGGGACUGAGACACGGCCCAGACUCCUACGGGAGGCAGCAGUAGGGAAUCUUCCGCAAUGGACGAAAGUCUGACGGAGCAACGCCGCGUGAGUGAUGAAGGUUUUCGGAUCGUAAAGCUCUGUUGUUAGGGAAGAACAAGUGCCGUUUGAAUAAGGCGGCACCUUGAGCGGUACCUAACCAGAAAGCCACGGCUAACCUACGUGCCAGCAGCCGCUAUA
RNAcentral lists this ribosomal RNA (546 nucleotides) under Bacillus sp. M14-C6. Its description in RNAcentral is "bacterial SSU rRNA". It matches the Rfam family "Bacterial small subunit ribosomal RNA", at positions 1 to 522 of the family's 1533-position model. Lineage: Bacteria; Bacillati; Bacillota; Bacilli; Caryophanales; Bacillaceae. The record is from RNAcentral.